CCUACGGGAGGCAGCAGUGGGGAAUUUUGGACAAUGGGGGCAACCCUGAUCCAGCAAUGCCGCGUGAGUGAAGAAGGCCUUCGGGUUGUAAAGCUCUUUUGUCAGGGAAGAAACGGUGUGAGCUAAUAUCUCAUGCUAAUGACGGUACCUGAAGAAUAAGCACCGGCUAACUACGUGCCAGCAGCCGCGGUAAUACGUAGGGUGCAAGCGUUAAUCGGAAUUACUGGGCGUAAAGCGUGCGCAGGCGGUUUUGUAAGACUGUCGUGAAAUCCCCGGGCUCAACCUGGGAAUGGCGAUGGUGACUGCAAGGCUAGAGUUUGGCAGAGGGGGGUAGAAUUCCACGUGUAGCAGUGAAAUGCGUAGAUAUGUGGAGGAACACCGAUGGCGAAGGCAGCCCCCUGGGUCAAAACUGACGCUCAUGCACGAAAGCGUGGGGAGCAAACAGGAUUAGAUACCCUGGUAGUCCACGCCCUAAACGAUGUCUACUAGUUGUCGGAUUUUAAUUAACUUGGUAACGCAGCUAACGCGUGAAGUAGACCCGCCUGGGGGAGUACGGUCGCAAAGAUUUAAAAACUUAAAUGAAAUUGACCGGCUGAAGAGUGCGACGGACGACGACGAGGGAGGAGGG
RNAcentral lists this ribosomal RNA (628 nucleotides) under uncultured bacterium. RNAcentral describes it as "bacterial SSU rRNA". It matches the Rfam family "Bacterial small subunit ribosomal RNA", at positions 338 to 955 of the family's 1533-position model. The record is from RNAcentral.